UGGCAAAUCCGUUCAGACGAACCUCCUUAACACGGAAAAUAUGCGAGAUGUGAUGGGACUUGCCAAACUUCGGUGCGGCAGGUUAAAUGUGAGUUCAGCAUCCUAGAAAAGUUUCGCAGUGAGAAUCAAAUCCAUUCGUACUUCAAACCGACACAGGUGGAUAGGUCGAGUAGACCAAGGAGAGCGAGAGAAAGUAGUUUAAGGAAUUCGGCAAAAUAGCUGGGCGUAACUUUGGGAAAUGCCCUCCCCAUCGCAAGAUGGGGCGCAGCGAAUGAGAUGGAGCUGACUGUUUACCAAAAACACAGGUCUGUGCAAACCCGCAAGGGGAAGUAUACGGGCUGAAACCUGCCCGGUGCUGGAAGGUUAAUUGCGAGGGUGAUUAGUUUACUAAUUGCUUUCAAUAGAAGCCCCAGUGAACGGCAGCAGUAACUAUAACUGUUCUAAGGUAGCGAAGUACCUUGUCACUUAAUUGGUGACGCGCAUGAAAGGCACAACAAGCCUCAUACUGUCUUGAACUACUACUCGGCGAAAUUGAGAUGGCCGUGAAGACGCGGCCUACUAACACAAGGACAAAAAGACCCCGUGAAGCUUUACUACAACUUGGCACUGGUCUUAUAUAUAGAAUUGUUUAGGAUAGGUGGGAGUUCCUUCAUUUAGUGAUGGAACAUCAGUGAAAUACCACUCGUUUUAUAUAUAGGACCUUACUUAAGACUAAUGCAAACUUAGUCAAGGACACUGUCUGGCAGGUAGUUUAACUGGGGAGGUUGCUUGCUAAAGAGUAACGCAAGCGCGCAAUGGUACCCUUAGUCUGGAUGGAAAUCAGACUGUACGUGCAAUAGCAUAUGGGUGCUUAACUGUGAGGCAUACGGGCCGAGCAGAUGCGAAAGCAGGUUAUAGUGAUCCUCGUGCACUUUAUGGAAGGUGCCGGGCUUAUCGGAUAAAAGCUACUCCGGGGAUAACAGAGUCAUCGCGCCUAAGCGUCCCUAGCGUCGGCGCGGUUUGCUACCUCGAUGUCGGCUCAUCGCAUCCUGGGGGUGAAGAAGCUCCCAAGGGUUUGUCUGUUCGCCAAUUAAAGCGGUACGCGAGCUGGGUUCAGACCGUCGUGAGACAGGUCGGCCUCUAUCCGGUGUUAGCGUUAGAAAGUUGAGGGAAUUGAUCUCUAGUACGAGAGGAUCGAGAUGAGGGAAUCCCUAGUGUUCCUGUUGUUGCUGUCAAGCGCACCGCAGGGUAGCUACAUUUCUUAAGGAUAAUCGCUGAAAGCAUCUAAGCGAGAAGCCCCACCCAAGAUUAACUUUCUCCAUUAGACCCGUGGAAGACUACCACGUUGAUAGGUUGCCGGUGUAAGUAUGGUGACAUAUUAAGCCUAGCAAUACUAAGUGUCGAUUGAAUAAAUUAC
This 1396-nucleotide ribosomal RNA is filed under the name activated sludge metagenome. RNAcentral's name for it is "bacterial LSU rRNA". It matches the Rfam family "Bacterial large subunit ribosomal RNA", at positions 1499 to 2925 of the family's 2925-position model. The record is from RNAcentral.